GACGAACGCUGGCGGCGUGCUUAACACAUGCAAGUCGAACGGAAAGGCCCUGCUUUUGUGGGGUGCUCGAGUGGCGAACGGGUGAGUAACACGUGAGUAACCUGCCCUGGACUUUGGGAUAACUUCAGGAAACUGGGGCUACUACCGGCUAGGAGCUCCUGCUGCAUGGUGGGGGUUGGAAAUUUUCGGCGGAGGGGGAUGGACUCGCGGGUUAUCAGCUUGUUGGUGGGGUAGUGGCUUACCAAGGGUUUGACGGGUAGCCGGCCUGAGAGGGUGACCGGCCACAUUGGGACUGAGAUACGGACCAGACUCCUACGGGAGGCAGAAGUGGGGAAUAUUGCACAAUGGGCGGAAGCCUGAUGAAGCAACGCCGCGUGCGGGAUGACGGCCUUCGGGUUGUAAACCGCUUUCGCCUGUGACGAAGCGUGAGUGACGGUAAUGGGUAAAGAAGCACCGGCUAACUACGUG
RNAcentral lists this ribosomal RNA (468 nucleotides) under uncultured bacterium. Its description in RNAcentral is "partial 16S ribosomal RNA". It matches the Rfam family "Bacterial small subunit ribosomal RNA", at positions 28 to 507 of the family's 1533-position model. The record is from RNAcentral.